CCAGCAUUUGCCUGGAGGAACGCCAGCUGUGUCUGAAAUCACUGAGAGAAGAACAGCAGUAUCAAAAGACACUGACAGAUAAUGCAGGAGAGAGCUGGAAGAGAUGCUCUGAGAUAAUAUUUCAAGCCAGCCCUAGCUUCCUGCCACAUUUUCAUUUGGACCAGGCUGUAUACCAGGCUUUUCUCAGCGGACCCCAGCUUCACUUCGAAUUCCCUUGCAUGCACAUAGUAGCCUGUGCAAUGUACCUUUCUUGUGGCCACAAGAUUCAGCUUGUAAGAAGUGACUUGAAAAAUAGGAACGCAUAACUGUUCUGCCCUUACUGGAAAUGAGAGACUGGGUUUUCUGCCUCCGUCCUCACCUGACAGCUGAAAAGAAAAUUGCCCCUUCUGCAGGCACAACUCUUGUUCCUGAAACAAGCCCAGGCACCAGUGACAGCUCCACUGCAUGCUCAGUAUUUUUCCCAUCUUGAACCAGAGAGCAAUUCCAUGUAUCCACUGCUCUGUGGUUCAAAGAGGAACAAGUGUGUUCAUCAAAACAGGUGGAUGUUUGCUUCAUACCAAUUAUUUAUCACUUGAUGGUGAAGACUCAGGUCUUAUUUACUGAGUACCCUCUAAGCUAUCUAAGAUUCAAGUCCACCACUAAGCUUUAUAACAGCUUCCCACAUAUUCAAAGGACAGCCAUCACCAGCUGGGAGGGGACGAAUGAACAGCUACCACAGAUAUAUUCUGGCAGCCACAAGGAUAAAAACCCAGUUCUUGAGAUCAGCCUUCAGUUACAUACUACUCACAUUAAAUCCCUCCUUCUCAAUCUCAAAUUCCCUGCUUAUUCAAUACCCUCAUCCAAGUUACACAACACAUAAACUAGGAUUCUUAUAAUCUUAUUUAUUUAUCACAAUACUGAUUCAAUCUAAACAGUGUCUAGUCUGCAGCAAAAGCAGAAUAGCUCAAGGACUCUUCCAGAAAAGGAAGUGGGGCAGGGAGGGGGAAGUGGAACCAAAUUUGAUAAUGUAAUAAAGGUUGCAUAUAUGCCUUUAUACAAGGACAAAAGGGGACAACUGGGAUUGCAGGGAAAGCUUUAAGCUUGCUGUUUCCUAUCUAUUCUCAACUUUGUAACCAUGAUAUUGUUUCAAAAUAGGAAACUACAUAAAAAACUUCGCAUGAAACACUUCCUAUUAAAUGAAAAAGGAAAUAUUUCAUUAUAUGGAAUAAAAUGCAUCCAAGUGCUGAGAGAGCUGACUGAUGACAUUACAAGGCCACUCCACAUAAUCUGCUAUUGCAGAUGGAGAAGGGCUCCUGAUGAAAAAGGAAACAUCUCAACUCAUCUUCAAUAAAUGCAAAGAGGGGGAUCCAGAAAACUAUGGAAAGUACGGUCUGGUCAGCCUAAGCCUUCACCCCAGAAAGAUUAUGCAGCAAAUCCUUCUAGAAGUCAUGCCUAGACACAUAAAUGGUAAGGUGAUUGCAAACAGUCAUCCUGGAUUUACCAAAGGUGUGUUAUGCCUGACCAACAGGCUGGUCUUCUAUCAAGAAAUGACUGGCUGGGUGGCCGAGGAUUUUCUUCACUUUGAUAUCAAUCAGGCUUUUGACACAGUCUCCCUUGUAGACAAAUGACAGAGAUGUGGUUUGGACAGGUGGUUUACAGAGUUAGUGGAAAACUGGAUUGGAUUCUCAAUGUUGUGAUCAGUAGUAUUAAGACCAAGUAGCAGCUGGUCUUUCUUGAUAUUUCUCAGGAUUGAUACUAAGGUCAAUAUUCUUAAUAUCUUCAUUAGUGACUUACACACACUUAAUGACCUAACCACCACAUUAAAGUAUCAAAUUUGUGGAAUUUCUUAAAUUGGUGGAAGUGGUCAGUCGACUCAGUGGUAGGAUGUCCAAUUCAGGGGGACCUCAACAGGUGGGAAAGGCAGGCCAACGCCUAUGUCAGGAACUUAAAUCAAAGCAACAUCCUACAUCUGAAAACAGAAUAAACUCAUACAAAAUCACAGGCAGAGGACUGACUGAAUAAAAAGCUGAUUUGCAGAAAAGGUCCUUUUUGAAACUUCCUGACAAACCGAACAGGAGUCAGUGCCUAUUGAAGAUUAAUCUGCUCAGAAGGUGUCCAAAUAAACAUUUCUUCCUCUCCUGUUAAAGUGUACCUCUACAGACAAAACAAAUUUAAAAGACAUGCAAACAGGGUGAAAGAUAGUUUAAAAAGAAUGCAAGUUUCAGCAUAGUCAAAAGUAGUUUUCAGGCAGAGUUCUCCAAAGAGAAAGAGUAAUUGCAACUUUAAGGACUACUGCCCAAAACAACAUCAGCUGAAGUGCACAAUGGUCUUGUUAUCAAAAAAGCCCACAGCUAAACUCGUAACAGCUUAAUUGAAAAGCCUGUCAUGUGGAUCAUACAUUUUCCUCUUAGCAAGAUCACUGUUAACCAGUUAGCAAAGUUUAAUUAAGAAUAUCAAACAUGAUUAUUUUCUAAAGGGUCACUUGAACUGUUCUAAUGUUAUUUCACACCAUUUCAUUCUCACCCAAAUGUACUGAGACUACUAAUUAUGUGAUGGAAUUCCUAAGUGGUUCAUCUGAAACCAGACCUACAGCAUCUAAAAAAACAAAACUGUAUUUGUGUCAUUCCUAAAAACCAGCAGUAAAGAAAACUGCUGGUAAGGAAACAACACAAAUCAAAGUGUUCUCAGCCUGUGAUUUGAUAUUUUCUGUUGUAAGCCUGUCAAAUGUACCAUAAGAACACAGACCCAAGGUGAGCCUGACAUAUUGAAAAUAUUACAGAUGAUGCUAUACUUAAAAGGUAAGAAAACUGUAGACGGAACAUUAAAGACUCAAAAAAUAUUAAGACAAGUGAGAAAACUUUGGUAUUUGUUGCAAACAGUAAUUAUGUUCAGUGAAAAGUGAGUAAGGCUUUGUAUUAGCAGAAAAAUACAAAUGCUAAACUGAUUCUGGAACAGUAAAUUAUUUACUCCAGAAAAGAGUCAAACCACCUCAGCAAUUUACAACUCCAGAAAGCAAAUACAGAACAAAGGAAUAAGCAAGACUUUCAGGAACUGCAGAAAAGAAUUGCUUAGUACAAAAGGUAGAGGUAAUUAGUGCUCAAUAAAUUGGCUGGCGUUUGCUUGGUC
This is a long non-coding RNA of Columba livia (rock pigeon), 3105 nucleotides long. RefSeq lists it as uncharacterized. The transcript has 3 exons. Lineage: Eukaryota; Metazoa; Chordata; Aves; Columbiformes; Columbidae. The record is from RefSeq and is a predicted model, not a curated record.